Molecule: ribosomal RNA, 250 nt
Filed under: uncultured prokaryote
Description: partial 16S ribosomal RNA
Rfam family: Bacterial small subunit ribosomal RNA
Source: RNAcentral
UACGUAGGGGGCAAGCGUUAUCCGGAUUUACUGGGUGUAAAGGGAGUGUAGGUGGCAUAGCAAGUCAGAUGUGAAAACCCAAGGCUUAACCUUGGGACUGCAUUUGAAACUGUUAAGCUAGAGUGCAGGAGAGGCAAGUGGAAUUCCUAGUGUAGCGGUGAAAUGCGUAGAUAUUAGGAAGAACACCAGUGGCGAAGGCGGCUUGCUGGACUGUAACUGACACUGAGGCUCGAAAGCGUGGGGAGCAAAC